This 494-nucleotide long non-coding RNA is filed under the name Stegodyphus dumicola. Its description in RNAcentral is "uncharacterized LOC118179978". Lineage: Eukaryota; Metazoa; Arthropoda; Arachnida; Araneae; Eresidae. The record is from RNAcentral.
CAUUUGUUGGAUAGGUACGUUUGUGUACUGGACAUGGAAAAUUGUCAUGCUGUUACUGAAUAGAAAUUAUAUUUACUUGAACAUUUUAUAUGCCAUUUCACUGAUAAAGGUACAUGGGUCCUUUUUUUUCUACAGAAACACUGUAAAAGAAGAUGACUCAAUGUUGUUCAGAUGACCAUGAGAUCAUUGACCAUACACUCCGUAAUCUUUUGCUUUUGGAAUGUGCUUUAGACUAUAUUUAUAUGCUCCUAUUGCUAAUAAUAUCAAAACUCCAAGACUGCAUUAUAGCUCCUUUGAUGACCAUCAGCAGGGAAAUUUUACUAUGUUUGUGAAUAGAAUUGUGAUACCCGGUCGAUAUGUGUCCUGUACCAACAGGAACACACAAUGACCUUUAUGGUAUUAUGUCAAAUUUGAUGAACUUUUAUUUCAUUUCAUGUAGUAAUCAUUUUUUAUCUGUAAUAUGUUACAGAAUAAAACAUUUUAAAACUUACAAA